Molecule: long non-coding RNA, 5223 nt
Organism: Symphalangus syndactylus (siamang)
Lineage: Eukaryota; Metazoa; Chordata; Mammalia; Primates; Hylobatidae
Source: RefSeq, a predicted model, not a curated record
CUGAGCUCUGGACCCACGGCCGAGGCUUUGCAUAUUAAGAAACUCAAACUCAGGAUGGUUAAUUGACUUGCUUAAGGUUCCUGACAAGAAUUAUGGAAGCUUGAGGUUGAACUCAAACCUACUGAUGAAAGUGUCUCCCUGUGUUUCCCAGGCUGGACUGAAACUCCUGGGCUCAAACAGCCCUCCCACCUCAGCUUCCCGAAUUGGUGGGAUUACAGGCAUGAGCCACUGUGCCUAGCCCUGGACCAGACUUUAACUAGCAAGGUUCUAGAGUCUAAAGUGCUUUCCAGGCUGUUUCUCUUGGAGGUGGUGCAGGAGGUUGAGGAAAGCACCUCUGAUGAGCAGAUAGCUGGAGGCUGUUCCCACAGCCAUGUCUCAGCGAAGAAGUCAGAGUCCAGCAGCCAUCAGAACCAAGGGAUUCAAUUUGGUGUCAUCUUCGAAGAGAGAAGACAGAAGGAGCGAGAUUAGUGGAAUCAUUACAGCCUUUGUCACUCUGAGUCCAGAUGGGAUGAAAGUUCAGCCCAAACUUUCAUUUUAGAGGGGAACCCACCAAGCCCUACUCAAGCCCAGAGAUGUCUGCAUGGGAAGAAUAACAUCAUGAACCACCAGUGCCAAGAAGGAAUUCUCAGCAGGUUAACUGUACCAGCACCCAUUGAGGUUUGGUGAGGCCAAGGGCCAAGGCUUGCCAAGAGCUGUCAGUCUUUCCUUCUACAGAUGCCUCUGGGCUCUGAGCUGCUCCUCCUGCAGCAGGGAUGGCUGAACUGAGCCAGCCACACUCUCCUGUCAGGUCCUCUAUGCCCACUACUUUGGGGGAUGGAGGAUUAGGAAGGCUAUUGGAGGCUGAGAACUAAAGUUUCUUUUAGGGCUGGGUGUGGUGGCUCAUGCCUAUAAUCCCAGCAUUUUGAGAGGCUGAGGCAGGAGGAUUGCUUGAGCCCAGGAAUUUAAGGCUAUAGUGAGCUAUGAUGGCACCACUGCACUCCAGCCUGGGUGACAGAGCAAGACCCUGUCUCUUAAAAAAAAAAAAAGGUUCUUUUAGACCGUGCUAACUGAUUCUUUCAAAGAUUGAGCCUUUGGUAUGGGUUUAUGACCCCCGUUUCUGGAGCUAAUCCUGGAAUUAAUGUUACCCUUAGACUCCAGAGUGGGUCAUGGGGGGUGGGGGCGGGCAAGCACUUGCCAUGAGAGAUGAAAUUGUUUAAAUCCAUUCCAGCCCAAGAGCAAGGAGAAAAGCUCUGGGAGGCUGUGAAAGGCAAAGUGGGUGGAGGGGAGGGGAGCAGAGAACCAUGCAGAGACUGACUGCAGCUGUUGGUAGAGAGACCAUGUCAGCUGGCCCUGCCCUCUGGGUUUUUAGGGACCUAGGUUCAGCUGUCAGUUGCAGCUGAGGCUCCAGAGAGCUUGUAAGAAGUGACAAUGUGCAGGAGUGAGCCCAGGCCCAUGGGGCGCCUGGGGAUGGGAUGGUUUUCAGCCCGCACCAGCCGUGCUCCCCGGGGUGGAGUUUCUCUGUGCUCCUCUUUGCUGACACAACCCCUGCAGAUGCACACAGUCAGAGGCCUUGCCCUUCCCCCAGCCUGACCAACCUCCUAAUGUUGAGGAGGGCUCAACCCUCAUUAAACUCAUAGUCUCUGAAUUUGGGCAUAUGCUUUAAAUGGGGGUUGUGUUGAUGGGAGGGUUUGGCUGUCAUCUGACCCAUUUUGCAAUUCUCAUGGCUCAGCGCUUGUGAAAGCUGAGUCAUGUGGUGGCAGCCAGCCCCAGGAUCCCAGGGCUCAUCUGAGGCCAUCUCUCCAUUGCUCAGACCAUGGUUCUCAAAUUUGAAAGUAUACAAGAGGGACAACUUCAAAAAUCAGAUUCCUGGGAUCCUGGUCCCAGAGGAUCAUAUUCAGUGGGAUGGGGCCCAGGAAUCUGCAUUUUAUAAGCCCUCCAGGUAUAAGGAGAGCCUCACAGUCUGCAGACUACUCUGCAGUGCUCUGCUCCAGGAAGAACCAACCUGGGGUCUAUCCUACGUAUUCUUUCUGAGGCUCUGUGAGUCUCAUGCGAAGGAUGCUGAAUGCUUUGUAAAAAUGCUUCUUGCGGCCGGGCGCGGUGGCUCACGCCUGUAAUCCCAGCACUUUGGGAGGCCGAGGCAGGCGGAUCACGAGGUCAGGAGAUCGAGACCGUCCUGGCUAACAUGGUGAAACCCCACCUCUACUAAAAAAAAAAAAAAAAAAAAAAAAAAAAAUACAAAAAAUUAGCCAGGCGUGGUUGCAGGUGCCUGUAGUCCCAGCUACUCCAGAGACUUAGGCAGGAGAAUGGCCAGAACCCAGGAGGCGGAGCUUUCAGUGAACCCAGAUCACACCACUGCACUCCCGCCUGGGUGACACAGCGAGACUCCGCCUCAAAAAAAAAAAAAAAAAAAAAAAGCUUCUUGAUAGCCUGGGUGCAGUGGCUCACACCUGUAAUCCCAGCAUUUUGGGAGGCCAAGGAGGGCAGAUCACUUGAACCCAGGAGUUCAAGACCAGCUUGGCUAACAAAGUGAGACCCCAUCUCUACAAAAUAUUAGAAAAAUGGCUGGGUAUGGUGGUGUGCACCUGUGGUUUCAACUACAGGGGAGACUGAGGCAGGAGGAUUGUUUGAGCCAGGAGGUUGAGGCCACAGUGAGCUGUGAUUGCACCACUGCACCCCAGCCUGGAUGACAGAGCAAGACCAUCUCAAAACAAAACAAAACAAAAACUGUUCGAGGAGUUUAAGUAACAGUGUGUUUGUUCCCACAUCUUCCUGGAUCACAUGACCCCAGCCCAUUUUACAGGGUAAACAAUCUGAGGCCCCAAGAGAGUGAAUAAAAGCACAGCUGGUGGGAAGAACACCUGGGAGACCUGACGGGCACACCCCAUCCCCUCUGGGCCCAGAGCUGUGUCCUAUGUGCUAGGCAGGCUGCCUAUAAACACGAGAACUUCUACACUUGCAGCAGGAUAUUGGAAAGGAGCAAAGGAAUCCUGGAAUUAAUGUUACUCUUAGACUCCAGAGUGGGCAAUGGCGCGGAGGCAAAGGAAAUCACUGGGGCCGGGGCAGUGGCUCACGCCUUUGGGAAGGCCGAGACAGGUGGAUCACCUGAGGUCAAGAGUUUGAGACAAGCCUGGCCAACAUGGUGGAACCCAUCUCUACUAGAAAAAUACAAAAAAAUUAGCUGGGUGUGGUGAUGUGUGCCUGUAAUCCCAGCUACUCAGGAGGCUGAGGCAGGAGAAUCGCUUGAACCCGGGAGGUAAAGGUUGCAGUGAGCCCAGAUCACACCAUUGCACUCCAGCCCAGGCAACAAGAGCAAAACUCUCUCUCAAAAAAAAAAAAAAAAAAAAGGCACUGGAAAGGAGCAGCACGACAGCUGCACAGGAACUCAGAGACUAUAAUUUAGCAAUUUUCAAGAUUGCCUUAAUAGCUCUCGGAGUUCAUAGGACUUCCCACUCUCAUGAGAACUCUAGUCCCCAAGGAAAUCUUUUUCCUCCCCCUCCUCCUGUCAUUUAUUUAUCUUGGACAGGGAACAGAGCUUGAAUUCUGAGUCUAAUCUGUGAGGAAAUGAUUUCAGAACAAGGAGUGGAAGAGGAGAUGGAUUUAAGAACAUUAUCACUGAAACUGAAUCUCACCCAGAACUUUCUGAGCUUCUAAAAGCAAGCAAACACAGCUUUUUAGCUCUCCCGACUUUCCAUGGAUGCCUGUAGUCCACACCCCUGGUCUUCAGAAAAAUCCCUUACAGCCCAAGAAAGAUCUUGAGGUCAUGUUUUGGGGUCAUGGGUCUUUGGACCAGACUUUGUCUCUGAACUGGCAGUUCUCACACUUGUUUGCAGAUAAAGCAUGAUGUUAAAAUGCAGCUUCCUGGGUUCUCUCCCAGAGAUCCUGAUACAGAGGGUCUGGGAUGGGUCCCAGGAAUCUGUGUGUUUAACCGGAGCCCAAGGUCUAAUGCCCACAGUUGUGGAACACUCUGAGAAGCCCUGUUCCAGGAUGAACCCUCUCCUCCUGGGUGUGAGGAGGGAGCCUGAGCAGCUGGAAUCCCUAAAUGGUCUUCUAGAAGCCCCCAGGCCAUGUUCUUGUCCUAAGAGUCAGAGUGGCACUGACCAGAGAUACUCUCAUGUUGGCUGACUGUGGGCAGUGAGGCCAGGAGCGGGGCUGUGCCACCCUCUUCCCCACCUCCACGGUCGGCCAGUGGGAGUCAGCGGGUAACCCUGGGCACAAACCUCUGGAGGACAUGGCACCAGCUGCAGUUGAAGGUCAGGUCUGAGGACAUGCAGGCGUCACAGCUCCUAUGCUGUAGGCAGGCUGCAAGAGAGAAGGCAGUGGCCACUUAGCACUGAGCCUCUCCUUGGGCUCCAAAGGAUGCAACUCUGAAUUCCCGGUAUUUACAGAACUAUGGAGCCCCUGACUUUGAGGGGAUCUUUAAGGUCAUUAAUGCCACCUCCCUUGGUCCAGUCCAGCCCCAAUUCCUAACUUCUUUUUUUUUUUUUUUUUUUUUUAAAGGGAUGUGGUCUCGCUGUGUUGCCCAGGCUGGUGUGCAAUGACCUGAUCAUGGCUCACUAUAGCCUCGAACCCCUGGGCUCGACUGAUCCUCCUGCCUCAGCCUCCCCACCGUCUCUCCCUCCCUCCCUUCCUUUUUUCCUUCUUCUGUCCCUCCCUCCCUCGCUCCCUCCCUCGCUUCCUCCCUCCCUAGCUUCCUUCCUUCUCACUAGAAGGUCAGGCCCUAAACUGGGUGCUGGGGAUUCAGCAGUGAGACCUAGUCCCUGCCUUCUUAGGGCUUAGACUCAUAUGGGGAGACAGACACUUAACAGAUAAUGAACAAUCACUACAGAACUAGAGCUGUCAUGAGGUCUAUGAAGGCAAAUCACAAGGUGCUGUAAGUGCGUACAAAGUAAUCUCACUUAGUCAGAGACAUUAUACUUUCAGGUGUGUAUCCCAGAGUCAAAGGGUUGAAAGGGAUUUUUUAAAGGUCAGAGGAUACAAAGUAGCAGGUAUGUAGGAUGAACAAGGCUAGAAUCUACUGUAUAACAUGAGGACUGUAGGUAAUAAAAUUGUACUGUAUGUGAAGUUCAUGCUAAAUGAGUAGAUUUUAGCUGCUCUUUCCACAAGAACAAAAAAUCAAAGGUAACUCUGAGAUGAUGGAUAUGUUAAUUGCUUCAUCAUGGUAACCUUCUCACUGUCUAUAUGCAUCCCAUAGCAUCAAGCUGUAUACCUGAAAUAUGUACAAUAAAAGUUAUUAUUUUAAAAGAU